Danio rerio (zebrafish) is the source of this 6086-nucleotide non-coding RNA. NCBI's taxonomy places the organism in Eukaryota, Metazoa, Chordata, Actinopteri, Cypriniformes, Danionidae. The record is from RefSeq and is a predicted model, not a curated record.
CUGUUUGACAACACGGUUCUACACUAAAAGUACAUUUUUACAGAAUCAGUAUUAGCGAUGUUGAGUUGCAAUUUCUGUGGCAAGUCAGUCAAAUCAUUGAGGGCUUAUGUAAUACAUUGCAAACUUCACCGAAAUGAACCGCGUUUAUUUAAGUGCUUUGCAGCCGAAUGCAAACAGACUUUCUGUACAUAUGCAUCGCUUAAGGCUCAUUUUUACAGAAAACAUAACGUAAAUGCGCCUGUUAACGUUGCUGUCGGGACAGAUGUUAUGCCUAUUAAAUGUGCAAUGGCGUUAUGUGAUCGACAGUGUGAAGAUGCUAAAUCUCUAAUAGCACACUUGAAAGACCACAUUGUAGAAGGACGUGUUGUGAGUUGUCCAGUAAGAGGAUGCACAGAUGCUUUUAAAGUUAAAUCUUCCUUUACCUCCCACAUGUCACGGAAACACAAACAUUUCACAGAAAGCACAAUUAGUGACUUGUACAGAGACUCGUCGGCUUAUCAGUCAUCUUCACAAUCUGUAACAACCGAAUUAACGUCACAUGACUGUGGCCAUGAAUUUGAAUGUGAUGUAGAUACAUCCGACGAUUUCAACGAUCUUUUUCUUAAAAAUAUUUGUUUAUUUUACUUAAAACUGCAAGGGCAGCUCUUAGUGCCUGAUUCAACCACACAGAACAUUGUUGAGGAGAUUCAAAAUAUACACGAGUUGGGUCAGACAUAUACUUUAAGUAAACUUGCUUCACAGCUAAAGAAUGAAACAUCCUUAACAGAAGAUGAGAUCACCAAAAUUUGUCAGUCUGUCAAGGAAUCUGAUCUGUUUUCUGCAUGUCAUACAGGGCCAAUGAGGACUGCACACACAAGAGCUCAGUGUUUCAAAAAAAAUUUCAAUUAUGUGGAGCCUAAGACUGUUUUGUUAGGAAGGGAUGAGAACAGAAAAGAUAGGUUUGCCUAUUAUGUGCCAGUCAAAGAGACUUUAAAAUGCUUAUUGCAGUCUGAUAUGUGGCAGGAUUGUAUGUCUGAGGAGCACCCCACUGACACACCCACAGAUGUUUUAACUGAUGUUACUGAUGGCCAGAUGUUCAAAUCAAAUGAAUUUUUUGUUCAGAAUCCAUCAGGCCUAAAACUAGUACUGUAUCAGGAUGCAUUUGAAGUUGUUAAUCCUUUAGGCUCUGCAAAGACAAGACAUAAAAUAUUAGCUGUUUAUUUAUCUGUAGCUAAUUUGCCACUUCAUGUAAGGUCAGACACAAACCACAUGUCACUUGUUUUAUUGUGCAGAGAAAAAGAUUUUAAAGAAUUUGGGCAUGCUAAGGUGUUCUCUAAUUUACUAGCAGACUUAAAGUAUUUGGAGGAGAAUGGAAUUCCUGUUUCAGAUGAAACCGUAGUAAAAGGAACGGUCUAUUGCAUUGCCGGCGAUAAUUUAGGAUCCCACUGCAUUGGUGGGUUCUCUGAAAAUUUCAGCCGUGCAGAACAUUUCUGUAGAUAUUGUCUAAUUACUCGAUCUGAAUUUCAGGGUGAUCCAAAUCUGUGUGGACCAGCCCGGACAAUUCAAAACUAUAACUCAGCAAUUGACCGCAUCCAAGCAGAAGGAGCACAAGACGUGGAAGGAGUAAAAUUCAGAAUGGAUGACGUAGAGCCAAGCAACAUAAGCAGUGCCAUUACUAAUGUGUUACCAGACCUACCAACCUCAAAUCUAAAUAUUGUAUUGGAGACAUUACAAUCUUUAGGUGUGGGAGCCACUGAAGAUUUACAGUAUAUUAAGGAAGCUGAUCUGCUCACAGUACUGAGACCAGUUCAAGCUAGAAAACUGUUGGCUGCAUGGAAACAAUCCACAGAGACAACUGAAUUCCAUAGUCAGUCAACAUUGACCUCUCCAGUGUCCUCAGCGUGCUCCUCAGUCUCACUGUCUUCCUCACCCUCACCCUCACCAUCACCCAGACACAUGAUUGCUACUGCAGAUUGGGUCGACAGCUUCCAGAUUCCAUGGGAGAAGCUCCCAGAAGCCUUAAUGCAGAGUUUGGAGAGAGGGAAAAGGCCAAGCUCAAAGUUACGCAGAGAAAUGAUCCGAAUUGUAGUUGCUGAAAUGAUGCAUGCCUCUUCUUCUCCUGGUAAACAAUCCUCCACAGAGGUUGCGAAGAAAAUGGUAGCAAAGUAUCCACUGUCACUGCAAGAUGUUAUAGAAGGUGAUGUGGUAGGAACAGGAUAUCACUCACUCGUCAAGCAGCUGCAAGCACGAAUUGAAAAUGUAAAGCGGUCUUCAGUACCAAGAAUAUUAAAGCGCAGACGGGGGUCAGAUGAAUUUGACACAGAUGAAAUCACAGCUGAACAGAGGGCAGCUGUUCAGGACACAUAUGGCUGCAUAAAGUGGGAAAUGAAGUUUAUGCCAGUGAGUGAGACACUGGAAAGCCAAGAAGAGAAAAAAGAGAAAAUGAAAGUGAUAUUUGAACAGGCAACCUUCAACACAGAGGAGGUAAAACAUCUCAUGAAGUGCACAUACUUCUCCCAGCGUAAAUCAGUGAACAGUGGAACCGAUCUGCAAUUCCUCAUGCAAGAGUGGCCUUUCUUAUUCAAGGAAGUUGGCAUGGCAGUUCACUUUCAUGAAUUAACUGGUGUUUCCCUGAAAGAGACUUUCCUCAGUAAUGUUGAAAAAAAAGGAAAACGUGUUUUAGAUUUCAUGAGAAGUGUUUGUGCAGAAAAAAGCAAACAUGUUUUGCAAGCGGCCACAAAGCUGAAAAUUCUGAGAGGACAGCUGGAGGGCUGCUCAGAAGAUGUAAAAGAUCUGGUGCUCCUCAUCCUCUCCUACUUUAAUGAAAAAGAGGAGGACUUGUUCUUCUAUGUGGAAGAAACUUGUAUGGCAAAAGAAGUACAAGUGGAAGGCUUACCUGUGACUCCAUGCAUCAUUGUAUGCGGAACAUCAUGUUAUGCUGCAAAGCAUUUCAUGCUGAGUGUUGACCAGAAAAUUGUCAACGAAUACAUCUCCACCUUCAUCUCGGCUGUUUGCAUGAUGUUUGCAACCUACUACUGCCUCAACAUUCACUAUCCUGUGGGUCUGGGCUCCACACUUGAGUUUAUUCAGAGGUGUUUCUUCAACAUCAAUCCUGAGAAGGGCACAAAAGUGGAAACUAAGAAAAACAAGAAACAGCUAACAGUGAAUCCAAGAGUCCUCACACUCAUUGCAGAUCUCUCAGAUCAUGAGUGGAGAGAGGCAUGUUAAAUAUGGACUUUCAGUUCACAUCAUUUGAAGUGUUAACACAACACGUAUACACCACUAAUUGAGUUUUCAGUUUACCUUAUCUGUUAACCACCAACAAAGAAAGUACGCUUUUAGUAUUUGGGUUAAUGAUAAUGUUUUAUUGAGCAUUGUUUUUGUUUAAUUGGUAAACUGGCUUAUUCCAGAUUUUGUUAAAAGUACAAUGUAACAGACAUUUUUGUUAAAGGCUGCAUUUGUUCCAUUUUUUUUCUAGUUUUCAUUGAGGGAAAGAGCAAAUUUAUAUACUAAAUUUAUUUUUCUAAAGAUGUUACAAAACAAAUUCAUUAUACUCCCUGCACAUAGUGUUAUAUGCUUAUGAUUUUGGCAUUUAUAAUUAUUAUUAAUUUAUUUUUUUUGUUUCAAAAUAUUCUGGUACUAGCAAGGAGUUCAGAGUGUUUGGCUGAUUACAUGCGGAGUUUAAUAAACCUUUUGGAAAAUGCUUUCCAGACACCUUUUUUUCAGUGAUUAUUGUGACACUUCAGAUUAAGUUAAUGACUGGUGGGAUUGCUAAAAUCUAAGAAUCUACGUAAAAGUAAGUAAACUAAACACUUGAGAAUAUUUAUGUAAUUAUUUUUACACAAAACAGCAUGUGUAAACACAUUCUAUAAGCUAAAUAUUGCAUAUUGUGUAAAAUUAAAGCUUUUAUCUUCUAACACAUUUCAGGCACUGCAUUCAACCUUCACUAGAUGAUGACUUCAAGGAAACACAUUUCUGGACAAAAAGUGUUAAUUAAUACUUUUUUUUUAAUAAUGUUUAUUUUUUUAAAAAUUUCACUUUUAAUGAGACAUUUUUGUUGUAUCCACUUUAUUGAACAGCAACACUAAAGUUCAUCAGGAAACAAUGGAAAGAGAUCAGGAUUGCAACUUUGGUUGCUGCAAUAACGGUAUGUGUUGUGUUGAACUUGUUGAGCGGCUUGUGAAGCACAGCUGUUGUUUUUCCCUAAAUGUAGCCAUUUAUUUAGUACAUGUAGUGUGCAUACUGCUUUUAAAAGAGUGAAAGAUAUGCUUGAAACAUUUUUGUCUUAUUUAGGACAAUAUAUUUUCUUAUGUCUGCCAGAGUUUGAACACAAGGACUCUCUUUUCCUGACAAGUCUCUAUUUGGAUAAGAGACCUUUCAAGUAUAAAUUUGGGUAAGUUUUGUUGAUUAUUAAACAUCAAUUUAAAAGUACUAAUUACCUAUUUAACUCUUGCUUUACCUUACACAGAUGAGCAAUUCGGUGCUUCCAACUUUGCAGAAACGGGGUGUGGCCAGGCUCUAAGCUUCAGUGAGUACAUAUAAAUUAUAAGCUUUUAAAUUAACUGCCAUGCAUCAAUUUGUCAGAUCAUACAUGCUACUGUUUGGUCAGUUGCUCAACUAACCUUACUCUGUUGGUAUCACAAAAUUGUAGAACUAAAAUUACCUUUCAUUAAAAGAGUAUUUUAUUACAACCCAAACGUGUUUCCAAUCUUUCCUUGUAUAGCAGUGGAUUGUCCUAAUUUACAAUCUCAAAACAGAUUUUUAUGCUUGAUCUCAACUGAAGUGUAAUUUUAUUUUAGUUUAUAUUUAACUUAAUUUUAUGCUAGCUUUUAAAAAAUAAUAAAAAAUUAUAUUGCUAAAGUUGUCUUGCACAUUUACAGAACAAUAUUACCACACAUUCAUCACAUUGUCAUCUUAGUAAAGUUUGUGUUUAAAAAAAAAAAAAAGAGUAAAGAAAAUCUCAGCUAAAUUGUAUUAUAUUUAUGUACAUUGUUUACAUUAUUAUUAUUAUUCUUUUGAGUUGGAAAUAACACAAACUGCUCAAUAUUUCGAAACUGCAGCAAUAUUUACUGUAGCUAUUGUGUAAAUGCUAAAAUUAGUUAUAUUUAUUUAAUAACUAUUAAUGUUAGAAUUGUUCCUUUUUUGUUUCUUUUCCCCUGUUCACAGAGAGGACCUUCUAAAAGUUCCGGUUUUCUGAACAUUGUAUCCUGUGUGUAAGAGACCUCUCUUCAGUCAAGUCUGGACCCAGUCAGAUGCCAGUCUUAAGGAUAAUUGAUGAGAGAUCAUGCCAGUCCAUAUUGAAAUAGUGACUACAUGCAAGACUUCAAGCAGUACUACAUUUCAAGUUUGGAACAUACACAGUCCUGUGUCUUCCGUCAAGUGUGGGCUCAAUACUAUUGUUCAACCAGAGCAAGCAGCCCUGAUGGAUGUACAGUAUAUGUCUUCAUUGAUUAUCCUUACUUUUAUAUAUGGACACAUUUUAUUUCCAACAUCAACACGCCUUUGUGAGUACACUGGUCAAGUUAUUGGAUCAGCUCAAACUGUUUUAACACAGUCCCUGUAUGUAGUUUCAUUAAAAUCUAAUAAUUAUAGUUUGUGCCUUCAGUUGCUAUAGACUGUAUUUACUAGUUCAUUUUGCAAUUCAAAAACCUGAUUGAUUGUUGUAAAAUCUGUGGCAAACAACUGUAAUGUCUUUUGUGUUUUACCGUGUUUUUUACGGUAAAGUUCUGGCAACCACAGCUGCCGGUAAUUUUCUGUAAAACUGAACUUUACAAUAAAAUACUAUUAUAUUUAAUACAGUUGUUUUAUGUUUAUUACGGAAAUAGAAUGUAGUUAGUUUUACAGUAUAUUUAUUAUACACAGUAGUUUACUGUAAAGGAAUUUACACUUACGACUGCUAUUUUUAAAGUAAUUUACUGUAAACAUGUUUACAAUACAUUUGUUUUAUUUAACAGAAAUUUACUGUAAACAUACAGCAGUUUUCAACUGUAAAAUUUACAGAUCAUCAAAAAGUAUUCUGUAAAGCAUUGCACGUUGCAACCUUAUAUUUUACGGUGAACUUCUGGCAACCACAGCUGCCGGUAUUUUACCGUAUAUUUCACCCGUUA